AUAAUGAUCCUUCCGUCCAGCCACAACUGCACGUAAUGGGGGCGGCGGCAUGAGAACCAUGCCGAGGUGAGAGUCCUAUGA
RNAcentral lists this non-coding RNA (81 nucleotides) under unclassified sequences. RNAcentral's name for it is "pemK RNA". It matches the Rfam family "pemK RNA". The record is from RNAcentral.